GACGAACGCUGGCGGCGUGCUUAACACAUGCAAGUCGAACGGAAAGGCCUGCUUUCCCUUGUGGAUUGCGGGUACUCGAGUGGCGAACGGGUGAGUAACACGUGAGUGAUCUGCCCCCAACUUGGGUAUAAGCCUGGGAAACUGGGUCUAAUUCUCGAUAGGACUGCAGGGUGGUGCCUGUGGUGGAAAACGAUUUUCUAGUGGUUGGGGAUGAGCUCGCGGCCUAGCAGCUUGUUGGUGGGGUAAUGGCCUACCAAGGCGGCGACGGGUAGCCGGCCUGAGAGGGUCGACGGCCACAUUGGGACUGGGAUACGGCCCAGACUCCUACGGGAAGCAGGAGUGGGGAAUAUUGGACAAUGGGCGGGAGCCUGAUGCAGCGACGCCGCGUGGGGGAUGACGGCCUUCGGGUUGUAAGCUCCUUUCGACCGCGAGGAAGCCACCUGGUUGGAAGGGUGGUGACGGUAGUGAUAGAAGAAGCACCGGCUAACUACGUG
Molecule: ribosomal RNA, 494 nt
Filed under: uncultured bacterium
Lineage: Bacteria
Description: partial 16S ribosomal RNA
Rfam family: Bacterial small subunit ribosomal RNA
Source: RNAcentral